AGUCUUUGGAGGAACAAGUUCAGAAACUCAAGGAAAUCCGUCACGUCGUGAAAUGUGCUUGUGGGGAGGAAUAUCUAGUGGCAGUGAGUAGGUGAAUAGAAUACAAAAGAAAAUGAAACUUCAACAGCAAGUGAAAUGAUCCUCAAUUGUUUGAAGCGCUCGAAUAGAUAAUAAUUUUCCAGUUUUGUUUGAGCAUUCCUUGUGCUUCUGUUCUGUGUUUCACAAAUUACAAGUCUUUCAUAUGAAAUAUAUCGCAGUUAUGCAUCUA
This is a long non-coding RNA of Neltuma alba, 268 nucleotides long. RefSeq lists it as uncharacterized. NCBI's taxonomy places the organism in Eukaryota, Viridiplantae, Streptophyta, Magnoliopsida, Fabales, Fabaceae. The record is from RefSeq and is a predicted model, not a curated record. The transcript has 2 exons.